Cyprinus carpio carpio is the source of this 500-nucleotide long non-coding RNA. The record is from Ensembl. NCBI's taxonomy places the organism in Eukaryota, Metazoa, Chordata, Actinopteri, Cypriniformes, Cyprinidae.
CUUCAGUUCAUUCAAACUGUGCUGUGAAACAAACCAUGAUCUCUUCAUCUUUAGUGUUGCUUCUGGCAGUGGUAUCCUGUAUUGAUUCAUAUGAACUCACUCAGCCUGAGUCUCUGACUGUCCGUCCUGAUGCCACUCUGACUAUCAACUCUAAAGUCUCCUAUUCAGUUACAAGCUACGUUACAGCCUGGGUUGUACCUCAGACUUAAAGGCUUCAGCCACUGGACUAAAUGCCUCAGACUGAAAGGCUUUCAGGAAAAACAACGUCAUGUGUCAGGUGGUGUUUUCUGUGUUGAGCUCACUCAGCCUCCUUCUAUGGUUGUGAAAACUCAAAAAUCGUUCUCCAUCUCCUGCAGGAUUUCAGAAUCAAGCUAUUGCAUUAACUGGAAAAGCACUGGAAUGGCUCGGAUAUCUUUGUAAUGGUUCUGGAUCAGUUUCACCCAGGACACACAAAAACUUGAACACAUGAAUCAGACAUAUACUACCAUCCCUUAUCACAU